CUGUUGCCUCGGCGGGGUCACGCCCCGGGUGCGUCGCAGCCCCGGAACCAGGCGCCCGCCGGAGGAACCAACCAAACUCUUUCUGUAGUCCCCUCGCGGACGUAUUUCUUACAGCUCUGAGCAAAAAUUCAAAAUGAAUCAAAACUUUCAACAACGGAUCUCUUGGUUCUGGCAUCGAUGAAGAACGCAGCGAAAUGCGAUAAGUAAUGUGAAUUGCAGAAUUCAGUGAAUCAUCGAAUCUUUGAACGCACAUUGCGCCCGCCAGUAUUCUGGCGGGCAUGCCUGUCCGAGCGUCAUUUCAACCCUCGAACCCCUCCGGGGGAUCGGCGUUGGGGAUCGGGACCCCUCACACGGGUGCCGGCCCCGAAAUACAGUGGCGGUCUCGCCGCAGCCUCUCCUGCGCAGUAGUUUGCACAACUCGCACCGGGAGCGCGGCGCGUCCACGUCCGUAAAACACCCAACUUUCUGAAAUGUUGACCUCGGAUCAGGUAGGAAUACCCGCUGAACUUAAGCAUAUCAUA
Molecule: ribosomal RNA, 521 nt
Filed under: Trichoderma asperellum
Lineage: Eukaryota; Fungi; Ascomycota; Sordariomycetes; Hypocreales; Hypocreaceae
Description: eukaryotic LSU rRNA
Rfam family: 5.8S ribosomal RNA (bases 143-296)
Source: RNAcentral